Molecule: ribosomal RNA, 1447 nt
Filed under: uncultured organism
Description: SSU rRNA
Rfam family: Bacterial small subunit ribosomal RNA
Source: RNAcentral
GAUGAACGCUAUCUACAGGCUUAACACAUGCAAGUCGAGGGGCAGCAUGGUCUUAGCUUGCUAAGGCCGAUGGCGACCGGCGCACGGGUGAGCAACACGUAUCCAACCUGCCGUCUACUCUUGGACAGCCUUCUGAAAGGAAGAUUAAUACAAGAUGGCAUCAUGAGUCCGCAUGUUCACAUGAUUAAAGGUAUUCCGGUAGACGAUGGGGAUGCGUUCCAUUAGAUAGUAGGCGGGGUAACGGCCCACCUAGUCUUCGAUGGAUAGGGGUUCUGAGAGGAAGGUCCCCCACAUUGGAACUGAGACACGGUCCAAACUCCUACGGGAGGCAGCAGUGAGGAAUAUUGGUCAAUGGGCGAGAGCCUGAACCAGCCAAGUAGCGUGAAGGAUGACUGCCCUAUGGGUUGUAAACUUCUUUUAUAAAGGAAUAAAGUCGGGUAUGGAUACCCGUUUGCAUGUACUUUAUGAAUAAGGAUCGGCUAACUCCGUGCCAGCAGCCGCGGUAAUACGGAGGAUCCGAGCGUUAUCCGGAUUUAUUGGGUUUAAAGGGAGCGUAGAUGGAUGUUUAAGUCAGUUGUGAAAGUUUGCGGCUCAACCGUAAAAUUGCAGUUGAUACUGGAUAUCUUGAGUGCAGUUGAGGCAGGCGGAAUUCGUGGUGUAGCGGUGAAAUGCUUAGAUAUCACGAAGAACUCCGAUUGCGAAGGCAGCCUGCUAAGCUGCAACUGACAUUGAGGCUCGAAAGUGUGGGUAUCAAACAGGAUUAGAUACCCUGGUAGUCCACACGGUAAACGAUGAAUACUCGCUGUUUGCGAUAUACAGCAAGCGGCCAAGCGAAAGCGUUAAGUAUUCCACCUGGGGAGUACGCCGGCAACGGUGAAACUCAAAGGAAUUGACGGGGGCCCGCACAAGCGGAGGAACAUGUGGUUUAAUUCGAUGAUACGCGAGGAACCUUACCCGGGCUUAAAUUGCAGAUGAAUUACGGUGAAAGCCGUAAGCCGCAAGGCAUCUGUGAAGGUGCUGCAUGGUUGUCGUCAGCUCGUGCCGUGAGGUGUCGGCUUAAGUGCCAUAACGAGCGCAACCCUUGUUGUCAGUUACUAACAGGUUCCGCUGAGGACUCUGACAAGACUGCCAUCGUAAGAUGUGAGGAAGGUGGGGAUGACGUCAAAUCAGCACGGCCCUUACGUCCGGGGCUACACACGUGUUACAAUGGGGGGUACAGAGGGCCGCUACCACGCGAGUGGAUGCCAAUCCCCAAAACCUCUCUCAGUUCGGAUUGGAGUCUGCAACCCGACUCCACGAAGCUGGAUUCGCUAGUAAUCGCGCAUCAGCCACGGCGCGGUGAAUACGUUCCCGGGCCUUGUACACACCGCCCGUCAAGCCAUGGGAGCCGGGGGUACCUGAAGUGCGUAACCGCGAGGAGCGCCCUAGGGUAAAACUGGUGACUGGG